UACAGGGGGGGCAAGCGUUGUUCGGAAUUACUGGGCGUAAAGGGCUCGUAGGUGGCCAACUAAGUCAGACGUGAAAUCCCUCAGCUUAACUGGGGAACUGCGUCUGAUACUGGAUGGCUUGAGUUUGGGAGAGGGAUGCGGAAUUCCUGGUGUAGCGGUGAAAUGCGCAGAUAUCAGGAGGAACACCAAUGGCGAAGGCAGCUCGCUGGGACGUGACUGACGCUGAGACGCGAAAGCGUGGGGAGCAAACAGG
Molecule: ribosomal RNA, 253 nt
Filed under: uncultured bacterium
Lineage: Bacteria
Description: partial 16S ribosomal RNA
Rfam family: Bacterial small subunit ribosomal RNA
Source: RNAcentral